This 146-nucleotide ribosomal RNA is filed under the name Vibrio aquaticus. Its description in RNAcentral is "Vibrio sp. BEI207 partial 16S ribosomal RNA". It matches the Rfam family "Bacterial small subunit ribosomal RNA", at positions 1393 to 1533 of the family's 1533-position model. The record is from RNAcentral. RNAcentral also lists the same sequence under 1 other name. Lineage: Bacteria; Pseudomonadati; Pseudomonadota; Gammaproteobacteria; Vibrionales; Vibrionaceae.
CCCGUCACACCAUGGGAGUGGGCUGCAAAAGAAGUAGGUAGUUUAACCUUCGGGAGAACGCUUACCACUUUGUGGUUCAUGACUGGGGUGAAGUCGUAACAAGGUAGCCCUAGGGGAACCUGGGGCUGGAUCACCUCCUUAUACGA